RNAcentral lists this long non-coding RNA (621 nucleotides) under Triticum aestivum (bread wheat). RNAcentral describes it as "long non-coding RNA (TAES_LNC020781)". The record is from RNAcentral. Lineage: Eukaryota; Viridiplantae; Streptophyta; Magnoliopsida; Poales; Poaceae.
GCUCGAGACCUGUGCAUGAAUAAUGAUUUAUUAAUGACUGACAGCUGAUCUACAGUGUGUUUUGUAAGGUCAAAAGUUAAUUUUGUUUCUCCUGUUCACCAAGGGUGUUAUUGGCUCACAAGGUUACAAUUUAUCAAUCGAUCAAAUUUAAUGUCAGUAUACAUAUAUUUGAUCUUCCAAAUUACAAUUCCAUAUGUUGAAUCUGGAGUUUAAAACAAAAGAUAUAUAAUCUGUGUACAGAGCUACCAUGGUGCCCCUCCUUUCAAAAUUUACUGCUUUAACAUGAUUUUCUCCAUAACUUACUCAUCUCAUUUAUUUGUUGUUGUAGAUUGCCAAGAAAUUGAUGAUGCUUGGCUCAGAUGUUGAUUGCAAGGUUAAGAAUGUGGCCAAUAUUAGAUAAUUAGACUGUCAUUUUAAGGGUCAAUGUUUCAACCAUUGUAGUUGAUUGCAAGGUCGACAAUUGGGCUACUACUAGAUAGUUUCACAUCUUGUAAUCUUUGGAAUGUGUUCUCUGUAAUGCAACACGAUUGAUUUAAUACAUCCGACUUUUUUAUUGUAUAUUGUGGCUCCUAUUCGUUACCUCAUAAUUCUUGAUGGCAAUGUAUAAAAUAUCAUUCAUUG